GGGCCGUUAGCUCAGUGGUAGAGCAGGUGGCUUUUAACCACCGUGUCGUAAGUUCGAUCCUCACACGGCCCACCA
This 75-nucleotide transfer RNA is filed under the name Alphaproteobacteria bacterium CG_4_10_14_0_8_um_filter_53_9. RNAcentral describes it as "tRNA-Lys". It matches the Rfam family "tRNA". Rfam says of the family: Transfer RNA (tRNA) molecules are approximately 80 nucleotides in length. Their secondary structure includes four short double-helical elements and three loops (D, anti-codon, and T loops). Lineage: Bacteria; Pseudomonadati; Pseudomonadota; Alphaproteobacteria. The record is from RNAcentral.